AUACGUAGGGGGCGAGCGUUGUCCGGAAUGAUUGGGCGUAAAGGGCGCGUAGGCGGCGCGGUAAGUCUGGAGUGAAAGUCCUGCUUUCAAGGUGGGAAUUGCUUUGGAUACUGCCGCGCUUGAGUGCAGGAGAGGUUAUCGGAAUUCCCGGUGUAGCGGUGAAAUGCGUAGAGAUCGGGAGGAACACCAGUGGCGAAGGCGGGUAACUGGACUGCAACUGACGCUGAGGCGCGAAAGUGUGGGGAGCAAACAGGAUUAGAUACCCUGGUAGUCCACACUGUAAACGAUGAAUGCUAGGUGUAAGAGGUAUCGACCCCUUUUGUGCCGGAGUCAGCACAAUAAGCAUUCCGCCUGGGGAGUACGGCCGCAAGGUUGAAACUCAAAUGAAUUGACGGGG
This 397-nucleotide ribosomal RNA is filed under the name uncultured bacterium. RNAcentral describes it as "partial 16S ribosomal RNA". It matches the Rfam family "Bacterial small subunit ribosomal RNA", at positions 523 to 918 of the family's 1533-position model. The record is from RNAcentral.